This 30-nucleotide non-coding RNA is filed under the name Rattus norvegicus (Norway rat). Lineage: Eukaryota; Metazoa; Chordata; Mammalia; Rodentia; Muridae. The record is from RNAcentral.
UGUGCUUUAGAUUUUCUUUGUAAGAAUGUU